Molecule: ribosomal RNA, 373 nt
Filed under: uncultured organism
Description: bacterial SSU rRNA
Rfam family: Bacterial small subunit ribosomal RNA
Source: RNAcentral
CAGAGGGUGCGAGCGUUGUUCGGAAUUACUGGGCGUAAAGCGCGCGCAGGCGGCCCUUUAAGUCCGUCGGUCAAAUGCCGGGGCUCAACCCCGAGCGUGCCGAGGAUACUGGAGGGCUGGAGACACGUAGAGGCAAGCGGAAUUCCGGGUGUAGCGGUGGAAUGCGUAGAGAUCCGGAAGAACACCGGAGGCAAAGGCGGCUUGCUGGGCGUGAUCUGACGCUGAGGCGCGAAAGCGUGGGGAGCGAACAGGAUUAGAUACCCUGGUAGUCCACGCCGUAAACGAUGGGCACUAGACGCUGGUGGGAUCGACCCCUUCGGUGUCGCAGCUAACGCGAUAAGUGCCCCGCCUGGGGAGUACGGCCGCAAGGCUG